RNAcentral lists this ribosomal RNA (433 nucleotides) under uncultured bacterium. RNAcentral describes it as "partial 16S ribosomal RNA". It matches the Rfam family "Bacterial small subunit ribosomal RNA", at positions 29 to 506 of the family's 1533-position model. The record is from RNAcentral.
AGCGAACGCUGGCGGCAGGCCUAACACAUGCAAGUCGAACGAACCUUUCGGGGUUAGUGGCGGACGGGUGAGUAACACGUGGGAACGUGCCUUUAGGUUCGGAAUAACUCAGGGAAACUUGUGCUAAUACCGAAUGUGCCCUUCGGGGGAAAGAUUUAUCGCCUUUAGAGCGGCCCGCGUCUGAUUAGCUAGUUGGUUGAGGUAAUGGCUCACCAAGGCGACGAUCAGUAGCUGGUCUGAGAGGAUGAUCAGCCACAUUGGGACUGAGACACGGCCCAAACCCCUACGGGGGGCAGGAGGGGGGAAUCUUGCGAAAUGGGCGAAAGCCUGACGCAGCCAUGCCGGGUGAAUGAUGAAGGUCUUAGGAUUGUAAAAUUCUUUCCCCGGGGACGAUAAUGGCGGUACCCGGAGAAGAAGCCCCGGCUAACUUCGU